Molecule: non-coding RNA, 134 nt
Submitted as: unclassified sequences
Source: Rfam
GACCUAAACUCUAAAAAAUUUUAAUUUUUAGGGCAUGGUCGUAAAUCCUACGCAAAUAAACAAGGUCUUCUGAUCAGUACUUAUUUGCGUAGGUCUAUAGUCGAAAGAUUAUAGGAUAACUUGAAAGAGUUGUC